Molecule: ribosomal RNA, 385 nt
Filed under: uncultured bacterium
Lineage: Bacteria
Description: bacterial SSU rRNA
Rfam family: Bacterial small subunit ribosomal RNA
Source: RNAcentral
UCAGGCCUAACACAUGCAAGUCAAACGACAAAUUUUUUUGUAGUGGCGGACGGGUGAGUAACACGUAAGAACCUGCCUUUAGGAGGGGGAUACCAUCUGGGAAACUGGUGCUAAUACCCCAUAUGCUGGGAAGUGAAAAGGUAUUUAACCGCCUAGAGAGGGGCUUGCGGCUGAUUAGCUAGUUGGUAGGGUAAUGGCCUCCCAAGGCGACGAUCAGUAGCUGGUUUGAGAGGAUGAUCAGCCACACUGGGACUGAGACACGGCCCAGACUCCUACGGGAGGCAGCAGUGAGGAAUUUUCCGCAAAGGGCGAAAGCCUGACGGAGCAAUACCGCGGGAAAAAAAGAGAGACCUGUGGGUUGUAAACUCCUUUUCUCAGAGAAGAA